This 58-nucleotide transfer RNA is filed under the name Apaloderma vittatum (bar-tailed trogon). It matches the Rfam family "tRNA", at positions 8 to 63 of the family's 71-position model. From Rfam's summary of the family: Transfer RNA (tRNA) molecules are approximately 80 nucleotides in length. The record is from Rfam by way of RNAcentral. Lineage: Eukaryota; Metazoa; Chordata; Aves; Trogoniformes; Trogonidae.
UAGCUCAGUCAGUAGAGCGUAGCACUAACAACGCUAAGCUCACAGGUUCGAUUCCCGU